Molecule: ribosomal RNA, 541 nt
Filed under: uncultured Gammaproteobacteria bacterium
Lineage: Bacteria; Pseudomonadati; Pseudomonadota; Gammaproteobacteria
Description: bacterial SSU rRNA
Rfam family: Bacterial small subunit ribosomal RNA
Source: RNAcentral
GGCGGCGUGCCUAACACAUGCAAGUCGAGCGGUAACAGGUGUAGCAAUACAUGCUGACGAGCGGCGAACGGGUGAGUAAUGCUUUGGAAUCUUCCCAGUAGUGGGGAACAACCAGUCGAAAGAUUGGCUAAUACCGCAUACGUCUGUGAAGAGAAAGCGGGGGAUCGUNANACCUCGCGCUAUUGGAUGAGCCAAAGUCGGAUUAGCUAGUUGGUGAGGUAAUGGCUCACCAAGGCGACAAUCCGUAGCUGGUCUGAGAGGACGACCAGCCACACCGGAACUGAGACACGGUCCGGACUCCUACGGGAGGCAGCAGUGGGGAAUAUUGGACAAUGGGGGAAACCCUGAUCCAGCGACGCCGCGUGUGUGAACAAGGCCUGCGGGUUGUAAAGCACUUUUAGUGGGGACAAAAAGUCAUGGGUUAAUAACCUGUGAUCUUGAUUUAACUCACAGAAAAAGCACCGGCUAACUCUGUGCCAGCAGCCGCGGUAAUACAGAGGGUGCGAGCGUUAAUCNGAAUUACUGGGCGUAAAGCGCACGU